UUUCCUCUUUUUUACUUCUAUCACCCAGCCAUCUCCUACAAUCGCCCAUUAAUUUUAUUACUGAACUUGCAGCUGAUAGCUCCACUGAUUAUAGCCAGCCAAUAGCGUGUAGACUUGUUGUCUCACCACCUGUGACGUCAGCAAGUCUAUAAAAGCUUGCGCUGCCCCAAAAUAUUGGUCCUUUACCAUCUGACCCGUACAUGUACGAAUUGUACGAUGUGCCCUCUCUAGCCCUUCUGGCACAAGUAUGACUAUUCUUUUGUAAAUUCUGUAAUUUUCCAAAUUCAACUUCAUACAUCUUUCGGCCCUUUAAAAUUCUAGUUCAUUUCUGCUCUCCCACAACUUUUUAGUAAAAACUCUCUUGUUCCGACAUAAUUCCGAAACAUGCAUCUUGUGUUCUAACAAACUUCGCAUGGCGCUUGUGGUACUUUGGCCGAAAGGUGACGAUAUUUAUCAGAGAUUACGGAGACCGUUACCAUAUGUAUAAUUUUUCUGUCACCAAGAAUUGAGAUCUCUUAACUUACCCUAUAAUGAACUUAAGUGCUCGCAUUCGAGUGUGAAAAAUGACCCAUAAAUCAAAUUUAAAAUUAAUGAGGAUAUCUUCGGGUCAAACGACUUAUUUUGCGGCAUGUUUGAGAAAGGAGGAAGUGGGGACCGUUCUUCCGCGUGGCCGAAGGGAGCCGAGAAUGAUUCAAUGUUGCCCACUGCGCGGCGCGGCACUCGCCAAAUCGCUCCUGUCAAAAUUUGAGUCACGCUAAUAGGGCUAAUGGAACUUGUUGCUCCUGUCUGUCCCACGCACCGCCACAACCAUGUAGCCGGGCCAUGAGUCAUCCGAGCCCUGAUUUUUCCGUUUAUUUAUUCAUAUUAUAAUGUCAAUUAAACCGUAGAUCUUAAAA
Bemisia tabaci is the source of this 896-nucleotide non-coding RNA. The record is from RefSeq and is a predicted model, not a curated record. Lineage: Eukaryota; Metazoa; Arthropoda; Insecta; Hemiptera; Aleyrodidae.